Molecule: long non-coding RNA, 734 nt
Organism: Cervus elaphus (red deer)
Lineage: Eukaryota; Metazoa; Chordata; Mammalia; Artiodactyla; Cervidae
Exons: 2
Source: RefSeq, a predicted model, not a curated record
GUGCAUGUAGGGCCAAGUGGGUGGACAUGGAAUGGUAGCGGAGAGAAGCUCUAAAUAACUGAGAUUCCUGGGGAGUGGUCCUCAAGAUCUUUUGGAAGAAGAUGAUGCAGUAUGCCCAGCAACCCUCUGAAAUACUAAGGAAGGCAUUGGUUUUAUGUAUGGUAGCAUAGGCGGAAGCCACAUGAUUUACUCUGACCACUAAAGGAAAUAAUGACUUCAACAGGGUGGGAGAUGUGUGGAGCAACCUCCAGUCUACUGCGUCUCCAUGAGGGACUGUUUGGUUACUAUCAACAAAACUCAGUGAAUAAAGUUUAAGCAAAAGAAGAAAUGUAAGAAUGUCUCUUGGGCUUCCCCAGUGGCUCAGUUAUAAAGAAUCUGCCUGCCAAAACAAUUAAAAAAAAAAAAAGAAUCUGCCUGCCAAUGUAGGAGACACAGGUUCAAUCCCUGGUCCAAGAAGAUCCCACGCACCAAGGAGCCCUGAACCACAACUAUUGAGCCUGUGCCCUAGAGGCUGUGAACCAUACCGACUGAGCCCAAGCGCCGGGGCUGCUGAAAGCUGCACACCCUGGACCCCGGCUCUGCACCAAGAGAGGCCACGAGGAGGAGCCUGUGCACUGCACCUGGAGAGUAGCCCCACUCGCCACAACUAAAGAAAAAGCCCUCACAGCAACGAAGACCCAACACAGCCAAAAAAAUAAAUAAUAAAAUAAAUAAAUAAAUUUUUUUUUAAAAAA